CAGACACAGCUGAGUCCUAACGCAGA
RNAcentral lists this non-coding RNA (26 nucleotides) under Homo sapiens (human). The record is from RNAcentral. Lineage: Eukaryota; Metazoa; Chordata; Mammalia; Primates; Hominidae.